This 827-nucleotide small RNA is filed under the name uncultured Chaetomium. RNAcentral describes it as "eukaryotic LSU rRNA". The stretch from base 553 to 827 matches the Rfam family "Eukaryotic large subunit ribosomal RNA", at positions 1 to 281 of the family's 3401-position model. The record is from RNAcentral. Lineage: Eukaryota; Fungi; Ascomycota; Sordariomycetes; Sordariales; Chaetomiaceae.
CUUGGUCAUUUAGAGGAAGUAAAAGUCGUAACAAGGUCUCCGUUGGUGAACCAGCGGAGGGAUCAUUAAAGAGUUGCAAAACUCCCUUUAAACCAUCGCGAACGUUACCCACGACGCCGUUGCCUCGGCGGAGCGUCGCCCCGUGCCGUCAAAAGUACGGGGCGUGCGCCCGCCGGGAGACCGGCACAACCAAACUCUUAUAACCAUUGGCCUCUCUGAGUAAGAUUUUUAAAUAAGUCAAAACUUUCAACAACGGAUCUCUUGGUUCUGGCAUCGAUGAAGAACGCAGCGAAAUGCGAUAAGUAAUGUGAAUUGCAGAAUUCAGUGAAUCAUCGAAUCUUUGAACGCACAUUGCGCCCGCCAGUAUUCUGGCGGGCAUGCCCGUUCGAGCGUCAUUUCAACCAUCAAGCCCUGCUUGUGUUGGGGUCCUGCGGCUGCCCGCAGGCCCUGAAAACCAGUGGCGGGCUCGCUAGUCACACCGAGCGCAGUAGCACAUCUCGCUUUGGUCGUGCGGCGGGUUCUUGCCGUAAAACACCCCCCUUUUAUCAAGGUUGACCUCGGAUCAGGUAGGAAUACCCGCUGAACUUAAGCAUAUCAAUAAGCGGAGGAAAAGAAACCAACAGGGAUUGCCCUAGUAACGGCGAGUGAAGCGGCAACAGCUCAAAUUUGAAAUCUGGCUUCGGCCCGAGUUGUAAUUUGUAGAGGGAGCUUUUGGCGAGGCACCUACUGAGUCCCCUGGAACGGGGCGCCGUAGAGGGUGAGAGCCCCGUAUAGUAGGACGCCGAGCCUUUGUAAAGCCCCUUCGACGAGUCGAGUUGUUUGGGAAU